Molecule: ribosomal RNA, 496 nt
Filed under: uncultured bacterium
Lineage: Bacteria
Description: partial 16S ribosomal RNA
Rfam family: Bacterial small subunit ribosomal RNA
Source: RNAcentral
GAUGAACGCUGGCGGCGUGCCUAAUACAUGCAAGUCGAGCGAACGGACGAGAAGCUUGCUUCUCUGAUGUUAGCGGCGGACGGGUGAGUAACACGUGGAUAACCUACCUAUAAGACUGGGAUAACUUCGGGAAACCGGAGCUAAUACCGGAUAAUAUUUUGAACCGCAUGGUUCAAAAGUGAAAGACGGUCUUGCUGUCACUUAUAGAUGGAUCCGCGCUGCAUUAGCUAGUUGGUAAGGUAACGGCUUACCAAGGCAACGAUGCAUAGCCGACCUGAGAGGGUGAUCGGCCACACUGAAACUGAGACACGGUCCAGACUCCUACGGGAGGCAGCAGUAGGGAAUCUUCCGCAAUGGGCGAAAGCCUGACGGAGCAACGCCGCGGGAGUGAUGAAGGUCUUCGGAUCGUAAAACUCUGUUAUUAGGGAAGAACAUAUGUGUAAGUAACUGUGCACAUCUUGACGGUACCUAAUCAGAAAGCCACGGCUAACUACGG